CGAUGGAAGUUGUUUUUAAUUUGCUGUGUUGUCAAGAAGAGUGGAAUAGAAUUGCAUUUUGUUUUCGAAUUUAAUGGUGAUUAAUAAAAAUAGAUUUAUUUGUUUUAUGUGCUUUGAAAAUGGAAAACAUCCACUGUUGCUGAAUUUAAUAUAAGUUUGUCGGAAGCCGGUUCAAGAAGCACCAACAAUCGAUGCGCGUUAUUCCUGCAUGAACCAUCGACCUCUUUCCGGUGGAAAAUUCACCAUUUAUCAGUUCCUGAUGUAUCAUCUUUCAAAGCUGUGAGCAAAGGAUCACGGAAGCAACGAUUGGCUUGAAGGGACUGUUAUGGAAACAACAGCUUUUUAUGUGGAAAAACCGCCGUUGAUAGUGAUUUAUUUAAGAUAAAUACUCCUUCAGCUGAAAAUAGAAGAUUCAGAGAAGAAAUGUGUAACGAGAGAAAACAAGAUUUUCGC
This is a long non-coding RNA of Armigeres subalbatus, 453 nucleotides long. RefSeq lists it as uncharacterized. NCBI's taxonomy places the organism in Eukaryota, Metazoa, Arthropoda, Insecta, Diptera, Culicidae. The record is from RefSeq and is a predicted model, not a curated record. The transcript has 3 exons.